GACGAACGCUGGCGGCGUGCUUAACACAUGCAAGUCGAACGGAAAGGCCCUGCUUGCAGGGUGCUCGAGUGGCGAACGGGUGAGUAACACGUGGGUGAUCUGCCCCUUACUUUGGGAUAAGCCUGGGAAACUGGGUCUAAUACUGGAUAGGACCAUGCUGUAGGUGGUGUGGUGGAAAGAUUAGUUUCGGUAAGGGAUGAGCUCGCGGCCUAUCAGCUUGUUGGUGGGGUAAUGGCCUACCAAGGCGUCGACGGGUAGCCGGCCUGAGAGGGUGGACGGCCACAUUGGGACUGAGAUACGGCCCAGACUCCUACGGGAGGCAGCAGUGGGGAAUAUUGCACAAUGGGCGUAAGCCUGAUGCAGCGACGCCGCGUGGGGGAUGACGGCCUUCGGGUUGUAAACUCCUUUCAGCCAUGACGAAGCCCUUGUGGUGACGGUAGUGGUAGAAGAAGCACCGGCUAACUACGUG
Molecule: ribosomal RNA, 469 nt
Filed under: uncultured bacterium
Lineage: Bacteria
Description: partial 16S ribosomal RNA
Rfam family: Bacterial small subunit ribosomal RNA
Source: RNAcentral